This 74-nucleotide transfer RNA is filed under the name Podarcis lilfordi (Lilford's wall lizard). It matches the Rfam family "tRNA". Rfam says of the family: Transfer RNA (tRNA) molecules are approximately 80 nucleotides in length. Their secondary structure includes four short double-helical elements and three loops (D, anti-codon, and T loops). The record is from Rfam by way of RNAcentral. Lineage: Eukaryota; Metazoa; Chordata; Lepidosauria; Squamata; Lacertidae.
UUCUGGAUAGCUCAGUUGGUUAGAACGUGGUGCUGAUAACGCCAAGGUUGCAGGUUCAAUCCCUGUAUCGGACA